This 2218-nucleotide unclassified non-coding RNA is filed under the name uncultured fungus. RNAcentral describes it as "sequence contains 18S rRNA gene, ITS1, 5.8S rRNA gene, ITS2, 28S rRNA gene". The stretch from base 1104 to 2218 matches the Rfam family "Eukaryotic large subunit ribosomal RNA", at positions 1 to 961 of the family's 3401-position model. The record is from RNAcentral. Lineage: Eukaryota; Fungi.
GGAUGGAUCAUUAAACUUAUCCAAGUAUCAACCAACGCGCACUUUGUUAGUGUCUUUUUUUCGGAAAGUCUGGAAGAGAAAGAAGAAUGAGUUAAGUGGAACGCUUAGUAGAAGUAGAAAGCGGGAAGACGGGAAUAGUACCUCCUUCGGGACGAAGAGACCUGACUGCGCUCGAAACGAACACCAGUACACUUUAACGAUUUCUGACAGCUCGGAUGGACCGGAAGAGAGAGAAGAUGCCUUUUUAACAUUGUAUUAUCUCCUACUAUUUUUUUUCUUUGUUGCGGCCUAACGGCGGACUUUCUUAGUUUAAGAAAUUUUUGCACAACUCUUAACAAUGGAUAUCUAGGCUCUCGGAUCGAUGAAGAACGCAGCGAAAUGCGAUACGUAAUGCGAAUUGCAGGAUUCAGUGAAUCAUCAAAUCUUUGAACGCACCUUGCAGUUGUUGGUAGCCCGACAACUAUACUUCUCUGAGUAUCGUCUUCAACCAAUCUCGUCUGCGUGCUGGCAACGGCACAUAGGGCGGAAAAUGAGUGUCUGGCUCCUUGUGGGCUAGUCGCUUGAAAUGCAGUGUCUGCCUCCUGUGGAAAUGAGGCUGCUAGUUCACUUCUUCUUGGCCUUAACGGGUCGGGACUAAGUGGCGGAUUUAGAAGCCAAGUAGCAUACCCUGUUCUUGGCCGUAUACCUAGGAACCGAGUUUUUCGGUCUCGCUAGUCUUACGAUAACAAAUUGCUUUUUACUGGUGUUUGAGCGCUAAAUCCAACUAGUUAAUGUGUGAUAAUAGAGGCUCGCAAGGGCUUCUUUUAACAGCGUUAAUUAGGGAUGCAAAGACUAAGGUAAAAGGUGCUAGUUAUUGCGAGGCGAGGGACUGGGGAGCAAGGGUCUGAUAGGACGACGGCUGAGGUAGUGUGAGGAAUAACCGAAUAGGUUUCUUCUUGCAGUACUGGUAACCAGGCGGGGGUUUAGAGCUGAAGGUGCUUCGUUUUAACAAUCUUUUUUAGCAGUCUAACUUAAGUUUCGUGACAGAAGGCACGCUUCUUGACGCUGUGGAGUUUAACCGCUCCACGAUGACCAAGAUAAAACCCCAUUAAACCCUUAGAUCUUGAUCUCAGAUGAAGUAAGACUACCCGCCGAAUUUAAGCAUAUUAUUAAGCGGAGGAAAGAAACUAACAAGGAUUCCCCUAGUAACGGCGAGUGAAGCGGGAAGAGCUCAACAUUAAAAUCGGUGUCUCUAGCGAGACUCCGAAAUGUAAUCUGGAGACCUUGUCCCAGUCUAGACCCGGGUUUAAAUCCUUUGAAACAGGGUGUCAUAGAGGGUGAGAAUCCCGUCUUUGACUCGGAGUUCUAGGCGUACGGGCGGGGAUCGAAGAGUCGGAUAGCUUGGGAAUGCUGUCCUAAUUGGGUGGUAAAAUUUCAUCUAAAGCUAAAUACAGCCGAGAGACCGAUAGCGAACAAGUACCGUGAGGGAAAGAUGAAAAGAACUUUGAAAGAGAGUUAAAAAGUACUUGAAAUUGUUAAGAGGUAAGCUCUAAACACCAGUGCUGCUGAGCUCCACUUAGCUGUCGCUGAAAUGCGGUUCUAGUUCGACGACCUAAAAAGCGUUUGAGUUAGCUGCACUAAGGCAAGGUGACGUGAGGCUUGGUGAGUCAGGGUCAGGUAGCGGUGCGGGAGAAAGCUGGCGGAAGAAGGGCUGCUAAGGGCGACCUUAGUGGCAGUUUAGACGCUUGCCCUACCGUGUCGCUGCCUGAGGUAAAACUCGAUAACGUGCCACGCGGUUGAUAGGCCCCGGUAGCUGGCGAUCGACUCACGAUUGUGUCGUGUUAGGUCGCCGGUGGCUGAUGGCUUGUCAAUUGACAGUACGUUCGCGAUCUUGACGAAAUGGUGUUUAGAGACCCGUCUUGAAACACGGACCAAGGAGUCUAACAUAUAUGCGAGUAUUUGGGUGUAAAAACCCUGAUGCGUAAUGAAAGUGAAGGUAGCGCUUCGCUGCUGAGGUAGGAAACCCGCAAGGGUGGCACUAUCGACCGAUCGAUCCUUUUGGAAGAUUUGAGUAAGAGCAUAUCUGUUGGGACCCGAAAGAUGGUGAACUAUGCCUGAUCAGGGUGAAGCCAGGGGAAACUCUGGUGGAGGCUCGUAGCGAUACUGACGUGCAAAUCGUUCGUCUGAAUUGGGUAUAGGGGCGAAAGACUAAUCGAACCAUCUAGUAGCUGGUUCCCGC